This 824-nucleotide ribosomal RNA is filed under the name uncultured bacterium. RNAcentral's name for it is "bacterial SSU rRNA". It matches the Rfam family "Bacterial small subunit ribosomal RNA", at positions 55 to 855 of the family's 1533-position model. The record is from RNAcentral.
AUGCAAGUCGAACGCGAAAGUUCCCUUCGGGGAGCGAGUAGAGUGGCGUCCGGGUGAGUAACACGUAGGUAAUCUACCUUUGGGUGGGGAAUAACAACCGGAAACGGUUGCUAAUACCGCAUAAUGCAGCGGCACCGCAUGGUGACAGUUGUUAAAGCGGGGGAUCGCAAGACCUCGCGCCUAAAGAGGAGCCUGUGGCGGAUUAGCUAGUUGGCAGGGUAACGGCCUACCAAGGCAACGAUCCGUAGCCGGCCUGAGAGGGCGGUCGGCCACACUGACACUGAAAUACGGGUCAGACUCCUACGGGAGGCAGCAGUCGGGAAUUUUGGGCAAUGGGCGCAAGCCUGACCCAGCAACGCCGCGUGAAGGAUGAAAUCCCUCGGGAUGUAAACUUCGCAAGAAUGGGAAGAAUAAGUAGGGGAUAAUACCCUCUAUGAUGACGGUACCAUUUGUAAGCUCCGGCUAACUCCGUGCCAGCAGCCGCGGUAAUACGGGGGGAGCAAGCGUUGUUCGGAUUUACUGGGCGUAAAGGGCGCGUAGGCGGCCAGUGCAAGUCAGUUGUGAAAUCUCCGAGCUUAACUCGGAAAGGUCAACUGAUACUGCUCGGCUAGAGUGCGGAAGGGGCAACUGGAAUUCUUGGUGUAGCGGUGAAAUGCGUAGAUAUCAAGAGGAACACCUGCGGCGAAGGCGGGUUGCUGGGCCGACACUGACGCUGAAGUGCGAAAGCCAGGGGAGCGAACGGGAUUAGAUACCCUGGUAGUCCUGGCCUUAAACGAUGAAUGCUUGGUGUCUGGGGUUAUAAAGUCCCCGGGUGCCGUCGCUAA